CGAUGGGGAGCGAUGGGGAGCGAUGCAGAGCGGCAGAUGAAGCUUCGCUUGCUCGCUAGCCCACCCGCCUGCCUGCCCACCUGCCCGCCCGCCGCUCACCUCCUACUGUGCAGCCCGGUUUCUAACAGGCUGCAGACUGGUACCGGUCCGUGGCCUGGGGGUUGGGGACCCCUGCUCUAAGUUAUUACAUUUGUGGGCAUAGAGUUGUUCAUAGUAUUCCUUUAUUAUCUUUUUAAUGCCCAUGGGAUCCGCAGUCAUGUCCCCUUUUCAUUUUGGAUAUUAGUAAUAAUGUGUCCUCUCUCUUUUUUUUCUUAGCUCAGCUAGUGGUUUACUGAUGAUCUUUUCAAAGAACUAUCUUUUGGUUUCUUGAUUUUCUCUAUUUCUUGUUUUCAACUUCAUUGAUUUCUCCUCUAAUUUUCAUUAUUUCUUUUCUUCUGCUUACUUUGGAACUAAUAUGCUCUUCUUUUUUUAGUUUCCUGAAGUGGAUGCUUAGAUUAUUGAGUUCAGAUAUUUUUUCUUUUCUAAUACAUGCAUUCAAUGCCAUUAAUUUCCUUCUAAGCACUGUUUUCGCUGCAUCUCACAAAUUUUGAUGUUGUAUUUUCAUUUUCAUUUAGUUCAAAACAUGUCUUAAUUUCUCCUUUGGUCUAUGUGUUAUUUGGGAAUGUGUUAUGUAAUCUCCAGGUGUUUGGGGAUUUUCCAGUUCCUUUUCUGUUACUGAUUUCUUAUUUAAUUCUGUUGUGGACUGAGAGCAUACAUUGUAUGAUGUCUGUUCUUUUAAAUGUGUUAACGUAUGUUUUAUCGCCCAGAAUGUUGUCUAUCUUGGUGAAUGUUCCAUGUGAACUUGAGAAGAAUGAAUAUUCUUCUGCAUGAAGUAGUCUAUAGAUGUCUAUUAUAUCUGGUUGAUUGAUGGUUUUGUUGAGUUCAGCUAUGUCCUUUUCUGCCUUUUGGAUGUGUCCAUUUCUGUCAUAGGGGUGGUGAAGUCUGCAGCUAUAAUAGUGGAUUCAUCUGUUUCUUUUUGCAGUUCUAUCAGUUUUUCCUUCGUGUAUUUUGAAGCUCUGUUAUUAGUCACGUGUGAAUGGGAGCAGCAAGAUGGCACAGGCUGUGAGGGAGUGACAUGGUGGCAGUCUGGAGUUGGCUCCCCAGCAAAUUUGCAUUUUACCAGCUUUCCGCACUGUGUCAUUUGUGGGCUGAGGCACCUGCGAAGAUCACUGCCUCCUCACAGGAGCCCAAGUGAGGAAACAGCCAAUGCAUUUGUGUAGGCCUCCUCUAUGGCCUGCUACAACUUCAGCAGUCUUUGGACGAUGGGGAGCCAGACCGACAAGGCACCUGCCUCAGGCCACUCUGGCCUUGGCCAGAGGACCAGGUGGGAGGGCGCUGGACUGGGCUUAUUCCUGGCAUCCUGAGGUCAUCGCUGCUCCUGCCUGAGGCCCUGUCCCUUGACUGGUGGCUGUGCUUUUAUGCAGGCCCUGGGGAAGAGAAUCUGGAAAGCCAGCCUCACAGGUAAUGAAAACAGACUGCUUCUGGCAAUGGAGUAGCUUACAGCAGACCAGUGCCUGAUGAGGACUCAAGGAACUGACCAUAAUUCAGAAAGCAUCUGCUUGUAUGACUGGAGCACUACCCCAUCACCUGUAACUCAGAGGGGAGCUUGAAGAGCAGUGAAAGGAGAAAAUUGGCACCGAAGAGUAUCAAUUCUUGAUUCUUGGCAGAAUUCCUGUUGUCUUUGUGAAAGUCAAGUUUCAGAAUGAGGGGUGCCAGGCUGAUGGGGGUGCUACUCACCCUGGCUGGCCUGCUGCAGCAGACCCUGUCCCUGAGAAUAGCAGCCUUCAACAUCCAGACUUUCGGGGAGACCAAGAUGUCCAAUGCUACCCUCUCCAACUACAUUGUACAGAUCCUGAGUCGCUAUGAUAUCGCCCUCAUCCAGGAGGUCAGAGACAACCACCUGACGGCCGUAGGAAGGCUGCUGGACAAACUCAACCAGGAUGACCCAAACACCUAUCACUUUGUGGUCAGUGAGCCGCUGGGACGCAACAGCUAUAAGGAGCGCUACCUCUUCCUGUUCAGACCCGACCAGGUUUCCGUGCUGGACAGCUACCAGUACGAUGAUGGCUGUGAGCCCUGUAGGAAUGACAGCUUCAGCCGAGAGCCAGCUGUGGUCAAGUUCUCCUCCCCCUUCACACAGAUCAAGGAGUUUGCCAUUGUUCCCCUGCAUGCGGCCCCAUCGGAUGCGGUGGCUGAGAUCGACUCUCUCUAUGAUGUCUACCUGGAUGUCUGGCAGAAGUGGGACUUGGAGGACAUCAUGUUGAUGGGUGAUUUCAAUGCUGGCUGCAGCUACGUGACCCCCUCGCAGUGGUCAUCCAUCCGCCUGCGCAGGAGCCCCCCCUUCCAGUGGCUGAUUCCUGACACUGCCGACACCACCGUUACAUCCACGCACUGUGCCUACGACAGGAUCGUGGUUGCAGGACCUCUGCUCCAAGAUGCUGUGGUUCCCAACUCAGCUGCUCCCUUUGACUUCCAAGCUGCAUACGGAUUGAGUGACCAGAUGGCCCUAGCCAUCAGCGACCAUUACCCGGUAGAGGUGAUGCUGAAGAGAGCCUGACGUGAGUGGGGCCUGGCCAGCGACCUCCGCUCUGCAGCCUGUCGCCAAGAACUGAGACGACACAGCCAAAGGCUAGGGACAGAGUUUAGGAAACCAGUGCCUGGUCCUGAGUGCUCCUGCCCCUCCCCACCACCGUGGCAGCUGGAAUUAGAGGAAGGGUCCACUUCCAGGUCCUACAGCAACUAUUUGAAGACCCGCCAGGACUGGCCACCCCAUUGCCCCUGGCCCAGCCUCUUCCUCAAUCUUGUGUCCGUCUUUACUGCAGACGGUGCUCUCACCCACCGCUCCCUGUGGCUCCCUCUGGCCUUUACUUCAUCAAAUACACCUUUUCUCACCGAGCCCCACAGGCUUCAGGCCUCCUGACUUACGCCAGAGACUCUCCUGGGCCUGCUGGGCCCAUGGCUGCCCCCUUCCCGGCAGCACAGUAAGGAUCCAGCUCCACGACUUCCUGACCUGCGGAAGCGCUCUGCCUGUUUCCUUCAUAGGAUACGGACGAGAAUUCUACCUACCUCCUAGGCCACCUUAAAUGAGUCACUGCUGUAAAGCAUGGACACGAUAUGUGUGUUACAUAGAGAAACCCCAGCCACACACCUUGCUCCCUGCCAGGAAGCCCUCGCCUCCCUCAGAGACCCACUGCUACCUCCCAUGGAGCCCCCAGGUCUGCCCUCCUCUGCUCUCAGCCUUCCCUACCCUGCACACCUGCCUGUCCCUUUGGGGCCACUCCUGAACAUGUCCCUCAGCCAGUGACACCUGUUCCCUGGUGACUGUCUUUUCUCUUGCAGCUCAGAGCUGGAUCAGUGGGUUCCUAGCUCAUUAAAGCCUACCCAGAACCCCCACUGAGAACCCAAGCUGGACCGUACGCCCUUGUGUCCUCAGCCACUGCAGCUCCUCUAGGCCUGGACGAGGAUGGCCCUGGGGAGGCCAACUGGGGACACCUCCUCUCUGCUUCUGCCUGCCCACCAGGCCCUCAGCAGCUCACCUUCCACUUUCUUCAUUCCAACUGCUCUACAAAGUGGAGGCGAAGCCAAGCUUGCCCGCCCGACCUCAGUAACUCCCCGGGCACAUGUGGCUACGUGCUCACGAGCGCACACAUGCAGGAGCAGCAGCAACCAGAGCCGGCAGGCUGGCCAGCUGUGCAGUCACCAAGGGCCAUGGUGGUUGGGUGGUGGCCCGUCUUUGGGAGGCCUCACCUUCACGUUGGUGACACGGGACCCUAGCGCGUUUCUCAUCCAGGCCAUCAGGUCCUCUGUCUCCUUCUCUGACAGACGGUCGCCAGCUACAGGAGAGCAGAAGGGUGAGCUUGGAGGCCGUCUCCACAACUCCCUCCCCAUAGGCUCCCAUCGGCAGGCUCCCUCCACCCUGCCAGCCACUGGCACAACGACAGAAGCUACCAGAACACUCUUCAUCUAAAAUUAAGCAGAUAAAUUUGGACCCCAGAAAGGAUACUUUUGAUUGCCUGAGGCCCAUAUAAUUUUGUUAGGGCUUUAAAAUGUCUGAUUCUCUUAAGCUUUAUCAAUCUUAGGAAGGCAAGCUGUGAAAAGAAAACCCCAUAUAGACCCACUGUUGCAGAACGAAGAGGCCGUGUAGCAAACAGUGCCAGCUCCCUGGGCCUGCCUGGCCUCACCUGCACCCCAGGCCACCAUCCACACCUGUGCCCAGAGAGAAGGGAAGCAAGCCGACCUGGGGAGCCGUCCUCAAACUUCUCCUCCUUGUAGUGGUCAACAACGAUGUCCGUUUCCACAGACAUCAGCUUCUUCUUGUCAAACUCACGAAGGUGGAGCAAGGUCAGCUCAUCAAACUGCUCGUAGCAGAAGAGAACCUGUGAUGACCCGAAAUGGCUUCCAUCAGGCCCGGGGAACCCUCUGCCCGUGACAAGAGAGGGACACGGAGCAGGGGCUGGGGCUGCGGGCUGGGCCCAGCAUCUGAGGGCCAUGCAGGGGGUGCUGGGGUUCCUGGGCCUUGUGGACGCAGUGGUUUACAGACGGCUCUCAGGGAGGCUCUGGCUCUAUCUUAGAAGCAGUGAUGCUAUUUAUAGAGAAAUCUCUGUGUCACCUCCUAGAAAGACCCAAACUAGUAGGCAGGCUUCAGCCUGGCCUCUGUGACCCUGGAUGCUGACUCUCACUGCUCCGCUCUCCCGAAUCGUGGGCACAUUCAGCCAUUCCCCAGUGAGCAUGGGGACCCUCCUUCAGUGGUCAGACCCCCUCGCCCUCUGACCUGGCCCCAAGGGAAGGACAAGUGCAGGGAGGCCCGGUAGGGGCCAAGCCUGCCCCUUGGCUCACCCACCUCUGUGUUUUUCCACUUCAUGGCCUCAUAGUAGGGCGAGUGCUCCGCCAGGUGCCGGUUGGGGGCGCACAGGUAGUAGAUACUGCGGGUGCCGGCCUGCAUGCGGCUGGCGUAGUCUGGGAGGCUGGUCAGCUGCCCAGCAGGCAGUGCCGACGACUCGUACCGCAGCAGCUUUGCAAUAUCCUCCUGUAGACAGACAGAGGCCAGGUCAUUGCUCAUUCCAGGUCCUGGCUCUGAAAGCCUCCCGACAGCGGGGCACAGACUUCAGGAGCCUUCAGCUAAGGGAGGAAAGGCUCUGGCUGGCCUCACACCCGCCUGGUGACCAUGUCCUGCAGCCAAGGCAGCUCCUUUGGGAGCCUGGUCCAGGGACGGCGCCCUGGGCUGGCUCGGGCCCUGGGGAGCUCUGAGGGACUCCAGUGCUGUCCAUUGGGCCCCAUGUCAGAAGUUCAGGGGACCUCGGAAAGCACAUUCCACCACAGGUGGCCCAGGGCCUUGCUGAGAGGGCCUUUCCAGGUGAGCUGCAAAAACGGUCCCAGGAGUGGCUAGGCCCUGUCCGUGGCAGAGCCCACUCUGGACCCAGCAUCCUCCCUCUGUCUCGAGUCACCGACCCUGGCUCUCGCCAAGCAGGGGACACGGGUGUGAAGUCCACACUUCCCAGCCUUCCUCACAGCCAGGGGACGAGUCCUGGCCCAGGGGGUACAAGCCUAAGUGGGGUGUGUGACUCAGAGAACAGGCCCUGAAAGGAGGGGCUUGUCCAUCUGCUCCUGUCGGCUGAGAUGCUGGUGGCAUCUAGACUCCAUGAGGGAGUCGCUUGUAAGGACAGAAGCAGCAACAGGCUGGGGUCCAGCUCCCUGAUGCACCAGCCUGGACAUGACCUGACAGUAAACUGCCUCGUCUAUGCCACCGACUCAUCUCCAACAACCCAUGGUGCCCAGAGGGGAGGUCCAGAUGAGAGAGUGAUGUGGUGGGGAUGAAAGGGGGACGAACAGGCAAAACCAGGGAUCUGGGAGCCCACCCGGCGAGCCAGGCUCUAGGUUCAUAGGUUAAGCUCAUGCUCUUGUGCAUGUUACGGAUCCUCAUUAACUGAGUAAGGGGCCUUCCCUGGUGAUGCAGUGUUUAAGAAUCCGCCUGCCAAUGCAGGGGACACAGGUUCGAGCCCUGGUCCGGGAACAUCCCACGUGCCGCGGAGCAACUAAGCCCGUGCACCACAACUACUGAGCCUACUUUCUACAGCCCGCGUGCCACAACUACUAAAGCCCGUGUGCCUAGAGCCUGUGACCUGCAACGAGGAGCCACCACAACGAGAAGCCGGUCCACCACAACGAAGAGUAGCUCCCGCUCGCCACAACUAGAGAAAAGUCCACGUGCAGCAACAAAGACCCAAAUCAGCCAAAAAAUAAAUAACUUUAUUUAUUUAUUUAUUUAAAAAACCCCUGAGUCAGUCAGUGUUUAUAAAGCACUCAGAAAAGCCUCUGGCACCACCUGGGUCCCGCUACCUACAAACACAGAGAGGAAUGAGUGGAGAGUCCGAGCAGGCAGCACUUGGAGCCACUGGAGUCCUUGUGCCAACAACCGGGGUUAGGAGGACCCAGGGUGAUGAGGGCCUGGGGGGAGCAGGCUGGUAGCCGCAGUGCCCAGGCCCCAUCCCACCCUCCCUCAUGGCCUGCAGAACAAACCCUGGGACCCCAGACGGUUGGUCACUCUCCUUCCCUGCUGCUGUUCUGGAGCAAAAGACGAAACGCCGGCGCUAAGAGUGACAAAAGACUUGUGUCUUUUGGGAGUGAUGGAAAUGUUCCAGAACCAGAUGGUGGUGGACGUACAACCUGUGAAGGUACUAAAUGAACUGUUCACUUUAAGAGAGUGAAUUUUAUUGUAUGGGAACUGUAUCACAACUUAAAAGUGGCCAAUAAAUGUUUAUGGAACAAUCUCAUCAUUUUUAAGUUAUUGCGCAAUUAACCCAGUGGCACAGUGUUGAUGGAUUUCUACCGAUCACAUGAUGAACUGCCCUGACUACAUAUACCUCACCUGCCCUCCCCACCCCGUGAACCAGGCACCUCUCCU
Globicephala melas (long-finned pilot whale) is the source of this 6940-nucleotide non-coding RNA. The record is from RefSeq and is a predicted model, not a curated record. NCBI's taxonomy places the organism in Eukaryota, Metazoa, Chordata, Mammalia, Artiodactyla, Delphinidae.